Molecule: long non-coding RNA, 696 nt
Filed under: Equus asinus (donkey)
Lineage: Eukaryota; Metazoa; Chordata; Mammalia; Perissodactyla; Equidae
Description: lncRNA (ENSEASG00005029792.1)
Source: RNAcentral
CUGCUUUGUGAGUCACUGUUGCUGGGGGAAGAGGCGACACCCCAUGAUGGGCUCACAAAGGGUUCCCAGGAGUGAUGGACCUUAAGUUCUGCCCCGCCCCGGGUUCAAAAGUCUUAGGAUCCCACGGCUGCCACACCCUCCCCAGGCCCUCCUUCUCCUGCAUCCUCCCCUGGCCCUGCUUCACUCACCUGCCACCCACACCCAAGCCCACCCCACUCGCCCCUUGAACAGCACCCACCCCCCACCUCCUUAAACUGAAGAUGGACGGACAAACCGGAAAUGGACAGCCUUAAUCUCUUCCUAGGUGGAGACUGGGGUCUCACUGGGAAAAAUGCAAGGCUCCCCACAGCCCUGAGCCAAGCUUGCUGUGGGGCCCUCCCCCACCUCCCGAGGAAAGGGGGUGAGCACAGGCUGGAAACCCCCUCCUGUUCUGGAUCCUCUUUCCACCAGCGCUGGCAGAGAUCGUGGAACUGGCGACAUUUCUCACAAGGUGGUGAGGCCGCGCGGAAGGUGGAAGCUGUCGCCAAGGGGCAGUCUGCACGGCGGCCCUUGGAGAACGGCUGGGUGACCCAAGACACCCUCCUGCUGCCCCGCCUGUGGCUCGAGGCUUCGCUCGGAGGGGCUGCGGCGUGUCUCCGGGGCGCGGGCGCGUUCCUGCGCAGCCCCUCCCAGCACCCCUCAUGAGCUGGAGAGCCG